GCGCCAGCAGUGCAAAAGGUUAGAGCACGUGCUCCCGGAUAGGGUGAGAUGCGGGUUCGAGUCCCGCUUGCCGCA
Non-coding RNA from Parelaphostrongylus tenuis, 75 nucleotides. Lineage: Eukaryota; Metazoa; Nematoda; Chromadorea; Rhabditida; Metastrongylidae. The record is from the annotation of a GenBank genome assembly.